GUGAAACAAAUCUGAAAGUCCGUCAGGCUUUGAGUGUGACCUCAGAUUUGGGAAAUGUUUCAACACUAACGGAGUUUGAUGGAGAAGUCAUUUGUGAACCACCGAACAACAAACUGGAUAAAUUCACAGGAACGUUGUACUGGAGAAAUAAUAAAUACUCUUUGGAUAAUGAAAAGAUGCUUUUAAGAGGUUGCGUUCUGAGAAACACGGAGUGGUGCUUUGGAAUGGUCAUCUUUGCUGGGCUACAAACCAAGCUGAUGCAGAACUCUGGAAAGACUAAAUUCAAAAGGACCAGCAUUGAUAAACUAAUGAACACGCUAGUAUUAUGG
Long non-coding RNA from Cyprinodon variegatus (sheepshead minnow), 329 nucleotides. RefSeq lists it as uncharacterized. Lineage: Eukaryota; Metazoa; Chordata; Actinopteri; Cyprinodontiformes; Cyprinodontidae. The record is from RefSeq and is a predicted model, not a curated record. The transcript has 3 exons.